Molecule: ribosomal RNA, 447 nt
Filed under: uncultured bacterium
Lineage: Bacteria
Description: partial 16S ribosomal RNA
Rfam family: Bacterial small subunit ribosomal RNA
Source: RNAcentral
AACGAGCGCUGGCGGCAGGCUUAACGCAUGCAAGUCGAACGCCCCGCAAGGGGAGUGGCAGACGGGUGAGUAACGCGUGGGAACGUACCUUUCAGUUCGGAAUAACUCAGGGAAACUUGUGCUAAUACCGGAUACGCCCGUAAGGGGAAAGAUUUAUCGCUGAAAGAUCGGCCCGCGUUGGAUUAGCUAGUUGGUGGGGUAAUGGCCUACCAAGGCGACGAUCCAUAGCUGGUCUGAGAGGAUGAUAAGCCACACUGGGACUGAGACACGGCCCAGACUCCUACGGGAGGCAGCAGUGGGGAAUAUUGGACAAUGGGCGAAAGCCUGAUCCAGCCAUGCCGCGUGAGUGAUGAAGGCCCUAGGGUUGUAAAGCUCUUUCACCGAUGAAGAUAAUGACGGUAGUCGGAGAAGAAGCCCCGGCUAACUUCGUGCCAGCCGCCGCCGUAA